Molecule: ribosomal RNA, 435 nt
Filed under: uncultured bacterium
Lineage: Bacteria
Description: partial 16S ribosomal RNA
Rfam family: Bacterial small subunit ribosomal RNA
Source: RNAcentral
AACGAACGCUGGCGGCAGGCCUAACACAUGCAAGUCGAGCGGACAUCUUCGGAUGUUAGCGGCGGACGGGUGAGUAACGCGGGGGAACGUGCCCUUUGCUUCGGAAUAGCCUCGGGAAACUGGGAGUAAUACCGGAUGUACCCUUUGGGGGAAAGAUUUAUCGGCAAAGGAUCGGCCCGCGUUGGAUUAGGUAGUUGGUGGGGUAAUGGCCUACCAAGCCGACGAUCCAUAGCUGGUUUGAGCGGAUGAUCAGCCACACUGGGACUGAGACACGGCCCAGACUCCUACGGGAGGCAGCAGUGGGGAAUCUUAGACAAUGGGGGAAACCCUGAUCUAGCCAUGCCGCGUGAGCGAUGAAGGCCUUAGGGUUGUAAAGCUCUUUCACCGGGGAAGAUAAUGACGGUACCCGGAGAAGAAGCCCCGGCUAACUCCGUG